RNAcentral lists this ribosomal RNA (885 nucleotides) under Triticum aestivum (bread wheat). RNAcentral describes it as "partial small subunit ribosomal RNA". The record is from RNAcentral. Lineage: Eukaryota; Viridiplantae; Streptophyta; Magnoliopsida; Poales; Poaceae.
AUGUUGCGCCGCGCCUCCCAGCUCCUCCGCACCGUCCCCACCGCCGCCGUGUUCCCCCGCCGCCUCCCGCAACCGCACCGGCACCCGCUUCCAGCCCCACCCGCCUAUCUCCUCCCCGCCCCCAGGCAACCAUCGUACUUCUACGCCACCGAGUCAGCGGCGGCGCGGCCACCAAAGGUGCCGCGGCCACUGAGGACGGUGGGGAGCCUGCUGAGGCUGAACGACAUCCGCGACAACCCCGGCGCGACGCAGCAGAAGACGCGCAAGGGCCGCGGGAUCGGCUCCGGGAAGGGCAAGACGGCGGGGCGCGGGCACAAGGGCCAGAAGGCGCGCGGCACCGCUCGCUUCGGCUUCGAGGGCGGCCAGACCCCGCUGCGCCGCCGUCUCCCCCGCCGCGGCUUCAAGAACCGCUUCUCGCUCACGUUCCAGCCCUGUGGACUGGGAAAAAUUGCGAAGCUCAUCAAUGCUGGAAAAAUUGAUUCCUCUGAAUUGAUCACAAUGAAGACACUGAAGGAUACAAGUGCCAUUGGAAAACAAAUAAAGGAUGGGAUUCGGUUAAUGGGCCGUGGUGCAGAAGAAAUCAAAUGGCCAAUUCACCUCGAGGUAUCAAGGGCGACCGCAAGGGCGAAAGCUGCAGUUGAAGCAGCAGGUGGAACUGUAAGAUUGGUGUACUACAACAAGCUUGGGUUCAGGGCACUACUCAAACCUGAAUGGUUUGCAAAGAAGGGCCGCCUUAUACCAAAAGCGGCGAGGCCUCCACCCAAGCAACGAGACAAGGUUGAUAGCAUUGGCCGACUACCUGCUCCCACAAAGCCACUUCCCUUCACACCGGAGGAAUUAGAGUUUACUGCCAAGCGUGAAGCUGCUAAAGUGAUCGCUGCAUAG